This 397-nucleotide ribosomal RNA is filed under the name uncultured bacterium. RNAcentral describes it as "partial 16S ribosomal RNA". It matches the Rfam family "Bacterial small subunit ribosomal RNA", at positions 523 to 918 of the family's 1533-position model. The record is from RNAcentral.
AUACGUAGGGGGCGAGCGUUGUCCGGAAUGAUUGGGCGUAAAGGGCGCGUAGGCGGCCGCUUAAGUCUGGAGUGAAAGUCCUGUUUUCAAGAUGGGAAUUGCUUUGGAUACUGGGGGGCUUGAGUGCAGGAGAGGUUAUCGGAAUUCCCGGUGUAGCGGUGAAAUGCGUAGAGAUCGGGAGGAACACCAGUGGCGAAGGCGGGUAACUGGACUGCAACUGACGCUGAGGCGCGAAAGUGUGGGGAGCAAACAGGAUUAAAUACCCUGGUAGUCCACACUGUAAACGAUGAAUGCUAGGUGUAAGAGGUAUCGACCCCUUUUGUGCCGGAGUCAACACAAUAAGCAUUCCGCCUGGGGAGUACGGCCGCAAGGUUGAAACUCAAAUGAAUUGACGGGG